Molecule: small RNA, 79 nt
Filed under: Flavobacterium sp. A45
Lineage: Bacteria; Pseudomonadati; Bacteroidota; Flavobacteriia; Flavobacteriales; Flavobacteriaceae
Description: Flavo-1 RNA
Rfam family: Flavo-1 RNA
Source: Rfam by way of RNAcentral
CUCUAGCCCCGAUAGCAGUGAAAAUCCUUUGUGGCUGGGGUUCAGCCUACAAAGAUUGCAACGGAUAGCGGGACGAUAC